RNAcentral lists this long non-coding RNA (1231 nucleotides) under Gossypium barbadense (sea-island cotton). RNAcentral's name for it is "long non-coding RNA (GBAR_LNC004218)". The record is from RNAcentral. Lineage: Eukaryota; Viridiplantae; Streptophyta; Magnoliopsida; Malvales; Malvaceae.
ACACCAUAUUUUUUUAAAUUAUCAUAUUUUAAUUAUUUCCAAAAUUUUAACAUGUAUAAAUAUGAAGAAUUAGUAUAAUCAGAUUUAAUAAUUUAUUUUAUAUCAAUAAUUUAAGGAGUUUAACAAAUUUUGUAAAAGGGGAAAAAGAUAAAAAAAAAUGAAUAGUUAUAACAUAUAAAUAUCAUAGAUUAAAUGUAUUUACCGCAAAACAAAAUAAUUUUUAUCUUAUGGAAUAAAUGAUAAAUUAACUCUCUUUUUUCCAAAAAAUUUGGUAACCUAAAUUAAUGCACCUGCAUAUAUAUAUAUAUAUAUAUAUAUAUAUUGUAGUAGCUCAAAUUUGACCGGGCUGAAAAUAAAAUAAACCCAUUACAGUCCAGUUUACAAAAGCCCAAAUUAAUUGACCCAUUUAACCUAGACCUAGCAGACCGGUUAUAACCUGUAACCCAGUAGCCCAAAUACCAAUAACCCAGUAAACCCAACCACCCAGCAGACCCAUUUACACCCUCAACCCAAAGUACACAGAGCCCAAACGGCCCAAGAUAUUAGCAGAAUAAAGAGAAGCCUAGGGUUUCAGAAACCCUAGGCGCCGCAAUCAUCCCGAAAGACGCGCCUUUUCGAAUCACGCCGUUCUAGUAGCCACCAUCAGCGCUGUGGUUCCAGUUCCCAUGCCACGCCGCAAUCGGCGCAUGGAUCAUGACCCACCGCCGAAGAUUGCGCCAUUAACCUGCAAGAAAAGGAAAGAAGCAAGCAAAUCAAGAAUCAGAAUAGGGUUUUUUUUUUUAGAUUUAUUUGUAAACAGUAUAAAUGGAUGUAAAAUACGAUGUAAAAAGGGGACCGCCUUUUUCUUACAAAAAGAAAAAUAAAAAGAUAUACAGAGACAUAAAAGAAAAGUUCGAGCAUUUUCUUAAAAAAGGUGAUUAAAGUUUUAUAUUCUGUUAUUUAUUUGUUUUUUUUUUCUUCUCAACAGGCAUACAAAUCGUUUUAAAAAAAAAACUGAUAAUAUUAAAAGAGAAGAAGAUUACCUGUGUUUUACCCAGAAGAACGAAGGUUUUUAGCCUUCUGAGCCACCGUAUUUGGCGGCGCGUGGGCGCGUGGGCGCGUGAAAGGUCGGAGACGGAAGCUCAACGGAGCGCUGAAAGCCCCUUCCCCAUUCCUCUUUCAGAGGAUUUUCUUUUUAAAAAAAAAACCAGGUUAAAAGUGAUUUUUUAAGCUAAAAAUUGGCUUAUAUAGC